Molecule: small nuclear RNA, 153 nt
Filed under: Plenodomus lingam JN3
Lineage: Eukaryota; Fungi; Ascomycota; Dothideomycetes; Pleosporales; Leptosphaeriaceae
Description: U1 spliceosomal RNA
Rfam family: U1 spliceosomal RNA
About the family: U1 is a small nuclear RNA (snRNA) component of the spliceosome (involved in pre-mRNA splicing). Its 5' end forms complementary base pairs with the 5' splice junction, thus defining the 5' donor site of an intron.
Source: RNAcentral
AUACUUACCUUCUUGCGACUCAGUGAGCUCAAGCAUUCACUGGUCUAAUGCUCUCGCCUGCAUUGCACAGCGCGGCGUGGGAUCAUUACGAGCUUCCUUCGGGAAUCUCGGCGGGGCAAUUUUUGUUGGACUGCCACACUUGUGUGUUUUGGU